Molecule: ribosomal RNA, 881 nt
Filed under: uncultured Chloroflexota bacterium
Lineage: Bacteria; Bacillati; Chloroflexota
Description: bacterial SSU rRNA
Rfam family: Bacterial small subunit ribosomal RNA
Source: RNAcentral
GACGAACGCUGGCGGUGCGCCUAAUGCAUGCAAGUCGAACGGUGAACCCGGUUCGCCGGGGGAUCAGUGGCGAACGGCUGAGUAACGCGUAAGUAACCUACCCCCGGGUGGGGAAUAACCCCGCGAAAGCGGGGCUAUUACCGCAUAGUCUGUCCUGCCAUAAGGCAGGCCAUUAAAGGUGCCUCUUAGGAGGUGCCGCCAGGGGAUGGACUUGCGUCCUAUCAGGUAGUUGGUAGGGUAACGGCCUACCAAGCCGAUGACGGGUAGCUGGUCUGAGAGGACGAUCAGCCAGAGGGGGACUGCGACACGGCCCCCACUCCUACGGGAGGCAGCAGCAGGGAAUCUUGCGCAAUGGGCGAAAGCCUGACGCAGCGACACCGCGUGGGGGAAGAAGGUCUUCGGGCUGUAAACCCCUUUUCUGGGGGAAGAGUAAGGACGGUACCCCAGGAAUAAGCCCCGGCUAACUACGUGCCAGCAGCCGCGGUAAUACGUAGGGGGCGAGCGUUGUCCGGAUUUACUGGGCGUAAAGGGCGUGUAGGCGGUUCGGGAAGUCUUUGGUGAAAUCUCCCGGCUCAACUGGGAGGGGUCCAGAGAAACUCCCGAACUAGAGGGCAGUAGAGGAGAGUGGAAUUCCCGGUGUAGUGGUGAAAUGCGUAGAUAUCGGGAGGAACACCAGUGGCGAAAGCGGCUCUCUGGGCUGUACCUGACGCUGAGGCGCGAAAGCGUGGGGAGCAAACCGGAUUAGAUACCCGGGUAGUCCACGCCAUAAACGAUGGAUGCUGGGUAUGGGGGGUAUCGACCCCCUCCGUGCCGAAGCUAACGCGUUAAGCAUCCCGCCUGGGGACUACGGCCGCAAGGCUAAAACUCAAAGGAAUUGACGG